GGUGUUGUGCGUGCGUGCGUGGGUGGCGACGGGUUGUAGAUCCGGGAGGUUAGUUAACUCAGGUGAAGGUAGCAAGCCUCUUGGGCGCCAGGGUCGACUCCGUUCUAAGUGCUCCGUCAGGCGACCCGCGAUGCCUUAACUCGGAGUCGGAUGCCUAGUGAGCGACUCUAUAGUAUAGUGGUUCCCCAGGCCUCUGCUCAACACUUGAGGUCUAGUACCAAGGGGACGUUCCCUCUCUCACACACACGUACACGCCCCGUUCACCCCAGUCGGUUAGGGGAGCGGACAGUUUUCGGGAGUGUGGCGGACCUGGGGUUUGGCUUAAGUGAGUCGACUGUGUCAAAGGGGGAAAAAAAAGGCGCCUUCGCGGCGGAGGUACAGGUCCCUACUUAGGGUUUCGGAGGCGGAAUCUUGCGCCCGGAGGGGGCCGCGCAUAACUUUCCGAUCCGAAAAGCACCGAAAGGCGAAAACAAAACAAAACAAAAACCCCCCAACGAUCCGUCAUGCCAACUAAGCUAGGGGGCUCUGAGAAGGCAACAAGGCGUUCCGGGGGCGGCGGGGCCAAACAGAAGGUUGAGGUUCAAUUCGGGAGCUAGAAAGCGUAGAAAGAGGGUUUCGCGGGUAGCGCGUUCCAAGGGAGCGAAGGGCUGAGGAGGAACAUUCUGACACAGUUGCGCUCAAAACUAACUCUCACCCUGAAAGAAAGGAAAAACAAGGCAGGGAAAACUGUUGGCAAACUGGAAAGUAGAAAGGCAGGCGGGUGGACGGGGGUAGGGGGGGAUUCUGCCCAAGCCAAUCAGUGGCGCUAGGGCCGAUGACGUCACAACCAAUGGACAGCCAGCGCGGGACUUUCAAUUAGUGUCCCGCCCAAUCGGGAAAAGACUGUGCCUAUAAAGACCGCUGCGGUGGGCUGAUCCCGGUUCCUGUCCUUGUGUAUCGCUGCGCUGGUGAGCUUGUGCCUCGGUUCGCUAUGGCCCGUACAAAGCAGACUGCCCGCAAGUCGACCGGUGGCAAGGCCCCGCGGAAGCAGCUGGCCACCAAGGCGGCCCGCAAGAGCGCGCCGGCCACCGGCGGCGUCAAGAAGCCGCACCGCUACCGGCCGGGCACCGUGGCCCUGCGGGAGAUCCGGCGCUACCAGAAGUCGACCGAGCUGCUGAUCCGCAAGCUGCCCUUCCAGCGGCUAGUGCGCGAGAUCGCGCAGGACUUCAAGACUGAUCUGCGCUUCCAGAGCUCGGCCGUGAUGGCGCUGCAGGAGGCGAGCGAGGCCUACCUGGUGGGGCUGUUUGAAGACACGAACCUGUGUGCUAUCCACGCCAAGCGCGUGACCAUCAUGCCCAAAGACAUC
Molecule: non-coding RNA, 1345 nt
Organism: Delphinapterus leucas (beluga whale)
Lineage: Eukaryota; Metazoa; Chordata; Mammalia; Artiodactyla; Monodontidae
Source: RefSeq, a predicted model, not a curated record